GGAAGAGACAGAAGGCAGCAGGGAUUUGCCCGCUUUACCCAACACCGGCACUCUGCAGCCGUGGGGCGGUUCAUGCAGGAAUCCAGAACAGCAGAAAAGUGAUAGUGUCCGAAGGAAGAAACUCUCCACCGCUGGGCAGGGGUGACACGGGCCAGCGUAGGAGAAAGGGGUGGGAAAAGUUUGCAAGCAGCAUUUUCUAACUGGGUGGUCCUUUGGGCAUCCAUGUCACAACAUUUUUAAAAAGAGAAAAGAAAAAGACACUGGUAGCUGGAAAAUCAUCCUCAAAUUCCUCUGUCUGUGCCAGUCCCCAGGCCCUGAGAGAGCACGUGCAUGGAGAAAAUUAAAAGCGACUGCUUUACACCCUGCAUUUCUUCCAGUUCAGGCCAAGCGUAAUUUUGAGGUUAAUUCUCAGUCUGUUUCUGUCGUGGGGGGGCUUCAUUUUCCUUGCAAGUGCAUUCAAGCAUGGUUCAGCCCCAGCCAGCCAGGGGAAUCCGCACCCCGCCAGGCCGGCACGGCUCGCARGGGACCCACGGAGACAUCCCUGCAAGACCCCCAGGACAGCUUCCUCCGGAAGAGACUCGCUGGAAAGGCUGAGCUGCAUUUGCUGCCGGGUUUUCCCUGGAGAAGAAAACAGGGUCCCUGGGAGCCUUCCCUGGGGGCAGGCUCUGGAAAGCCAAUUCCCGCACGAGCUCUGCGGAAGGCUCCGUGGACCCAGGUGCUCUCCGGCAGGGUGGUGCUGGUCGAGGGCCGUCUUGCCAGGAAUACGGGAAUUCCCAGCCCUGCCGGGAAAGGGGCAGCGUGAAGGGGAGCUGGCAGCCGCCGGGCUAAGCAGCCUUGCGCGCCUGGUUGCUGGUCCCAGAGUGGCGUCGCUGGCUCUGUCCUGGCAGCAGUUAUUGAUGGCAGUUUGUCCGUCUGGGACUGCCGACCUGCCCGUACGAUGGAAACACAGGAUCCUGCUACCGGCAUUGAACGUGUUAGCAGGGCACUGCCAGCCCAUGCCGAUGCUUCCAGGGGCUCCGGAUCCCUGGCUGCAGGUUAUCCCAAAGGAGGGAGCGGACACAGCGGUCCCCGGCGUGCCUUCGUGGCACCCACACGGUGGGACGCGGCUGCGGGGUCCGAGGCACAUCCGCU
Molecule: long non-coding RNA, 1131 nt
Filed under: Apteryx owenii (little spotted kiwi)
Lineage: Eukaryota; Metazoa; Chordata; Aves; Apterygiformes; Apterygidae
Description: lncRNA (ENSAOWG00000016534.1)
Source: RNAcentral